CUCGCGCACGCCGUUCGUUCGUGCGCGCUCGCCUCUACCCGCGACCACGAGGCGCUCGUGUUCGAAUCGAGACGGUGAUUCAAUUUUCAAUCAAUCGGGAUCGAAAUCUUAUGGAGCGAGGAGUGGAAAUUCACAAUAGUGCCUCUUAGGCGCGCGGUCUACGAGGCGAGAUUUUUUUUUUGUCCCCUCCUCUUCUCUCCGUCUCGACGAUAUUUUUCGAUUCCGGUUCGCCGUACCGCCAUUUUGCUUUUGUUCUUCGGCAUCGAGUCUCUUUUGUCAUCGCUUACGAGGACGGUUGUAACCGGGCAGCGAAUGAGCGUCGCGUAAUUAUCGAAAGAUUUCAAUCUUCCGAGGCAUUCAUCAUCUUCGAUCAGUAGCAGCCCAGGGCAGCGGCCACGUACCCUCGAGUCCCGGAUUUGUCCUACUACGUCGCUACACCCUUGCCGCGCGUUUCUCGCUCGAGGGAGAGGGGACUCGACUUUGCGCCAAGCCACCGAACUCACCGAUUCCCAUGAGGGAUAUUUCACGUGGCGGUAAAGUGGAUGCCGAGAGGUGAACGGGAGGGGGAGGGGGGGCGGUAUUAUUAAGCCAACAUCCAUCACCGGCUUUUGGGGACAGUUGUGAAGGUGCCGCGAGCCGCGGGACUUAACCCUACCGACGAACCAACCAGCCAACCGAUCCCCCAUUUUCUGCCCCUCGUACACCACCCCCGAUAGAUAUACCGUAACGUCUAACGGUCCAUGCGUAAUUCCACGUAAGUUAGGAACGCCGGGCUUUUCGAAAGCUCGGCUACGUACAGUAAGCUACGAACCGGUGUACGUCGAUCAUCCCUGAGCAUUGAACGAAUACCGGAUGACUAUCCUCCUGUCUUAUACCGACAAAAAAAUCCCUCACACGAAACGAAACGGAGCUUCGACGACGCGUCGGAGAAGAAAAAAGAAAAAAAAAAAACGAAAUUCCCGUUGAUCCCGAUCAAUUUUCUCGGGGGGGUUUCUUUUUUUUCGAAACGCGUCGGAAAGCAUCGAACCCACUUACCUCGGGCCCCUAUUCAAGGAUUAAAGUUCUACGUCGUGUGUCGCGUUUCGAAGAAGGAAAGCGCCGCUCGUAACCAACCGCCUUAAGGACCUUAAAGGGAGCGCCUGGUUUUAUCGGACUAAUCGCCGGCUCUCGCCCCGAAGGAACCAAGCCCGGCGUGACUUCACCUACAUACCUGUCCCCGCGCGUACCUUGUACGCUCCCGCACGAUCGACGUACAGGAUAUUUCCCGAGGCGAGUACGGAUAUGGCGGGACACAGGGGACGUCGGGGGACAAAGGUGACGCGCGUCCUUCUCCGUUUCUGUCUCCGUCUCCGUUUAUCUGGCGUAGGUUGGGCCGGGAAUAGAGCCAGCGUGGCGAUGCACAUAUAUUAGAGGCCGAAGUGUGGUACGCACACGUUUGAAAACGUCACGCAUCGGCCGUACGCUCCAGCCCGCACACACGAAGAUUUUGGCCGCGCAACCCCGUCGUCACCCGGCCACCCCGUCACCUCGUAGUAUCUCCCACGUAUACGAGGUAUUUCGGUUGACUCCUAAUUUCCCGACAAUUAUACGUAUAUUACCGAUUCGUGGAGUUAUUCUGGCGCCCUGUAUCACGCCGCUGAAGAAUCUAUGGUAAUGUGGAAAUUUCCAAUGCGAUUGGACGCUUUGCCGCCAUCCGUUCGAAGAACGGUAGAAACGAAAAAUUGGUAACGUAGAUUUGAAAUUAUUCCUAAUUUUGUAAAAAUUUGAAUUUUCCAGCGAGAUUCCCUCGUUCUUUUUCCGUAACAAAAUGUCGGAGAUGUAAUUUCAUGUGAA
Molecule: long non-coding RNA, 1833 nt
Organism: Athalia rosae (coleseed sawfly)
Lineage: Eukaryota; Metazoa; Arthropoda; Insecta; Hymenoptera; Athaliidae
Exons: 3
Source: RefSeq, a predicted model, not a curated record